UCGAUCCAUUUUGGGAACUUUGUGUGCACUUCGGUGCGCAUCUCAAUUGGACCUGAUAUCACGCAAGA
This 68-nucleotide ribosomal RNA is filed under the name Phytophthora siskiyouensis. Its description in RNAcentral is "partial 28S ribosomal RNA". The record is from RNAcentral. Lineage: Eukaryota; Oomycota; Peronosporomycetes; Peronosporales; Peronosporaceae.